RNAcentral lists this ribosomal RNA (467 nucleotides) under uncultured bacterium. RNAcentral describes it as "partial 16S ribosomal RNA". It matches the Rfam family "Bacterial small subunit ribosomal RNA", at positions 28 to 506 of the family's 1533-position model. The record is from RNAcentral.
GACGAACGCUGGCGGCGUGCUUAACACAUGCAAGUCGAACGGAAAGGCCCUGCUUUUGUGGGGUGCUCGAGUGGCGAACGGGUGAGUAACACGUGAGUAACCUGCCCUUGACUUUGGGAUAACUUCAGGAAACUGGGGCUAAUACCGGAUAGGAGCUCCUGCUGCAUGGUGGGGGUUGGAAAGUUUCGGCGGUUGGGGAUGGACUCGCGGCUUAUCAGCUUGUUGGUGGGGUAGUGGCUUACCAAGGCUUUGACGGGUAGCCGGCCUGAGAGGGUGACCGGCAAAAUGGGGACUGAGAUACGGCCAAGACUCCGAGGGGAGGAAGAAGGGGGGAAAAUUGAACAAUGGGCGGAAGCCUGAUGAAGAAACGCGGCGUGGGGGAUGACGGCCUUCGGGUUGGAAACCGCUUUCGCCUGUGACGAAGCGUGAGUGACGGUAAUGGGAAAAGAAAAACCGGCUAACUACGU